This 524-nucleotide ribosomal RNA is filed under the name uncultured bacterium. RNAcentral's name for it is "partial 16S ribosomal RNA". It matches the Rfam family "Bacterial small subunit ribosomal RNA", at positions 28 to 523 of the family's 1533-position model. The record is from RNAcentral.
GACGAACGCUGGCGGCGUGCCUAAUACAUGCAAGUCGAGCGCAGGAAACUGACGGAACUCUUCGGAGGGAAGGCAGUGGAAUGAGCGGCGGACGGGUGAGUAACACGUAAGGAACCUGCCUCAAGGAUUGGGAUAACUCCGAGAAAUCGGAGCUAAUACCGGAUAGUUCAACGGACCGCAUGGUCCGCUGAUGAAAGGCGCUUCGGCGUCACCUUGAGAUGGACUUGCGGUGCAUUAGCUAGUUGGUGGGGUAACGGCCCACCAAGGCGACGAUGCAUAGCCGACCUGAGAGGGUGAUCGGCCACACGGGGACUGAGACACGGCCCAGACUCCUACGGGAGGCAGCAGUAGGGAAUCUUCCACAAUGGACGAAAGUCUGAUGGAGCAACGCCGCGUGAGUGAUGAAGGUUUUCGGAUCGUAAAACUCUGUUGUAAGGGAAGAACACGUACGAGAGGAAAUGCUCGUACCUUGACGGUACCUUACGAGAAAGCCACGGCUAACUACGUGCCAGCAGCCGCGGUAA